This 463-nucleotide ribosomal RNA is filed under the name uncultured bacterium. Its description in RNAcentral is "partial 16S ribosomal RNA". It matches the Rfam family "Bacterial small subunit ribosomal RNA", at positions 28 to 507 of the family's 1533-position model. The record is from RNAcentral.
GAUGAACGCUGACAGAAUGCUUAACACAUGCAAGUCGAUGGGGAAGUGGUGCUUGCACCAUGGUAACCAUGGCGGACGGGUGAGUAACGCGUAAGGAACUUGCCUGCGGGACUGGGAUAACAGCAGGAAACUGCUGAUAAUACCGGAUAAGGUCAUUAAGCUGCAUAGCUUAGUGAUGAAAGGAGACGCCUGCGGAGAGCCUUGCGUCCUAUUAGCUAGUUGGAGGGGUAAUGGCCCACCAAGGCGAAGAUAGGUAGCCGGCCUGAGAGGGUGGACGGCCACAAGGGGACUGAGAUACGGCCCUUACUCCUACGGGAGGCAGCAGUGGGGAAUAUUGGACAAUGGGGGCAACCCUGAUCCAGCAAUUCUGUGUGCACGAAGACGGUUUUCGGAUUGUAAAGUGCUUUCAGCAGGGAAGAAGGAAGUGACGGUACCUGCAGAAGAAGCGACGGCUAAAUACGUG